AGGAUUUUGCAGGGUUGAUGGUACUAUCAAAAAAAAAAAAUAUUAGCCUUUAGAAAGUUCUAC
RNAcentral lists this microRNA precursor (63 nucleotides) under Carica papaya (papaya). RNAcentral describes it as "miR8135 stem-loop (cpa-MIR8135)". Lineage: Eukaryota; Viridiplantae; Streptophyta; Magnoliopsida; Brassicales; Caricaceae. The record is from miRBase by way of RNAcentral.